UAGCCCUCGAGGUGCAGACCACAUUGGGGCCUUCCCAGACCUGCAGCACAGAGAUAAAGGAGGUGGGGAGAGGUGGGUAUCACCAAGGGCUCAGUCCAGGACCCUCCACCCCUCCCACCACCCCUGCCCCGCUGUACCAUGGCCACCACCGGGCCGGAGCUCAUGUAGCUGAUGAGGGCUGGGUAGAAGGGCUUCCUCUGCAGGUCGUGGUAGUGCUCGGCAAGGAUGCUCUCUGGUGCCUGGUGCAUUGGGGGAAGGAGGUGAGAGGAGGCCCUGGAGAGGGAGCCCCACCAGGCACUGGGACAGUGACAUGGUGUACUGAUCACAGGGCCCUUUGCAGACGACACCUACAUGGGGCAGCACUCCAGCCACAAAAGCACAAGGCAGACACCUCCCCACCCCUCCCCUUCUACUGCCAACACCAGGAUGUCUUCCUGAUGCAGGGCUGAGAUGUGAGAAGCCCCCCAUCCCAGUCCCCUCAGGGACACCCACAGGCCAAGAGCCCUGGUACCUGCAGCAUCUUCAUCCCCACCAGCUUGAAGCCCCUCCUCUCAAAGCGCUGGAUCACAUCCCCAACAAGCCUCCGCUGCACCCCGUCUGGCUUCACCGCAACCAGGGUCCGCUCCAGGGUCCAGGAGGGUCCUCCUUUAGAAGAGGGGGGUUCGGGGCUGCCGAGGCCUCACCCUUUCAUGUCUCCCGGACCUGGGUUCCCCUGCCAGGACCCAGGGGUCACCUGGACUUCAGAGUGUCUGCCUCAGGCAGAGCAGCUCUGGAGGGGAGAAGUGUGGUAUCCACAGCCAGGACUGUCUAGCAUGGUGCUACCCCUUGGGACAAGCAGCACAGGGGGUCCCUGGGGACUUCAGCCUGUCAGAGGGGCCAUGGGCCCUCCCAGGCAGUGGCAGAAGCUGCCCAUGAUAGAGCUGAUGUCCCCUGAAAAGGCAUCUAUCUUAGACAGCCUGGAGGCCUAGGGAGGCACAGUCCAGCUCAGAGGCCACCCGGAGGCCCAAAGAUGCCACACUGGAAAGAAAGUACAAGUCUUGGCCUGAUUUUCACUCUUGUCCUUUGUGGCGCUAGCACAAUGUCUGAACCCCCAACCUGCCACAUCAGGAAGGAACUACCACCCAUCUUCUGGGUCUCAGGUGAAGGAAUGGCAGGGGACCAGGGAGACAGAAGGGCACUUUCCCCACCGGCUGGGCCACAGACAGCGGGACAAAGGGACCUGGGGAUUGAGGAGAAAGGUGGAGGGGUUCCUGUCUGCAGGUGGGGAGAGUUGAGAGGGCUCCUCCCCUCACACCUUCGUUGGCCAGGCUGCUGUGGGGUUCCAGGGUGGGAUGCUUCCAGACCUAAAGUCAACACUGCCACAGUCUUCCCCCUCCUGGGGAGACACUGCCCGGAAGACCCCCCAGCAUAGUCACCCUCCUACAGCCCCAGGCCACUUCCAGAGUUAUGCUGACCCUCAGCAUUGGGUCCAGGGUCAAGUGUACUUUUGAGAGGAGCCCAGACCCUGGAUGUCCAGCUAAUUCCUGCAAAGAGGGAGGAGAAAACUGGAGGAGAGAUGAGACAUAGGGUCCAGGAGGGCCAGUGUCCCUGGAGGCAUCUGCAGCUGCCUUCCCAUCCCCAGGAGGAAAAUAAACCAAAGUUGUGCAGGGCCUGGAGAGCAGACAGUGGGUUCCCACCACAUCCCUUCAAUGAACCGUGCUGGAGGAAGUCCCCCCAUCCUUAUUUCGUCCCCCAAGCCCAGUGCCUGGGGGCCCUGCUGCCAGCUGGCUUGUGCCUCAGCCGGUGGCAGUUCACUCUUGCCAGCAUUUGGAACGCCAGGACAUCUGCUGCUCAGGAAGAGCCUGAGGGUCAGCAGCUAGGGCAGAGGUCCCUGUGGAUACCAGCGGGCAGGGAUAGGCCAGAGGGAAAAACGCCCCAGGACGGCAGUGUUCAUCUGAUGAGAAUGACCCCUCUCAGGAGCCCCGAGUCCGCCGCAAAGUGUGGCCACCAGGCUUCUGGCUUCCUCCUGCCCUGGAACCCUGGGGACCCCCUGCCCUGAGCACGGUGAGGAGGUCCACAUCAGGGUCCACCUCCAGGAAACCCAGCCUCAGAAAGGAAGAUACCAGAAGGAAGCACUUUAUGACCGCAUUUGAUACAGCAGAGCACAAACACGAGGCUGUUCAUUUCUCCUCCGAUGCUGACUCUCCUCCCGCGUCCGGCACUAAACGUGGAAGCACUUUAUCAAUA
This is a long non-coding RNA of Lagenorhynchus albirostris (white-beaked dolphin), 2226 nucleotides long. RefSeq lists it as uncharacterized. The transcript has 2 exons. NCBI's taxonomy places the organism in Eukaryota, Metazoa, Chordata, Mammalia, Artiodactyla, Delphinidae. The record is from RefSeq and is a predicted model, not a curated record.